AGGAGUUACAGGGGUAGUCUAAAAAGGGGUCUGAAGUCAUUCGUGUCCCGAGUGGAGGGUCAGGGGGUCGUGGUCGGCGCGACCUGGAUAAGGAAGCGCCGUGCACUUUGUCACUGCUAACACAUGUGCACGUAUGUGUGUACGUGUGUGUACGUGUGUGUGCAUGCUCGUGCCAGUCUUCAUCGGUGCUCGCUAACAGCACUUGCCCUAAGAGUCUGUUAAGGCUACACGGGGGAUUGUUGUCCGUGUGUGCGCGUGCUCGCAGGUGAAGAGGGCAGUGGACUGCUGGAGCGAGAGGAGGAACUGGCGCCCAGGGAAUCGCCGGAGCGAAGGAGCGCACCGGGGCAGCAGCGCGCGCACCAGGAGCAGGAGGAGGGGCUAAUGGAGCCGUCGCCCUCCCCGUGCUGCCGGGAGGUGGCGCCGGGAGGAGCCGCGGUGGCCGCCGGGCCCCUCCGCUGCUCGGUGGCCGCCGGGCCCCUCCGCUGCUCGGUGGCCGCCGGGCCCCUCCGCUGCUCGGUGGCGGCCGGGCCGGGGCAGGGGGCCAGGCCCGCAGAGUGCGAUGUGGAGGAGGUGCGUGACGUCAUUUAUGGACGGCCCCUUAGCAGGACAAAUGUCGAGGCAACGCUUGGGGCAAUGGCCCUUCUUCAUGGCGCGUUAUUCAUCGACGCUUCGCUACGCGAUCCGACCGGCCGGGCCGUGGCGUCGUCCGGGUCACUCACCUCGCCAGGGUCAACCCGAUGCCGUUGUCCGCGAAUCUGCACGCAUCAACAUCAUCAUCACCACAUUAACACCAUCAUCACCACAUUAACACCAUCAUCAACACCAUCAUCACCACAUUAACACCAUCAUCAACACCAACAUCACCACAUUAACACCAUCAUCACCACAUUAACACCAUCAUCAACACCAUCAUCACCACAUUAACACCAUCAUCAACACCAACAUCACCACAUUAACACCAUCAUCACCACAUUAACACCAUCAUCAACACCAUCAUCACCACAUUAACACCAUCAUCAACACCAUCAUCACCACAUUAACACCAUCAUCACCACAUUAACACUAUCAUCAACACCAACAUCACCACAUUAACACCAUCAACAACACCAUCAUCACCACAUUAACGCCAUCAUCACCACAUUAACACCAUCAUCACCACAUUAACACCAUCAACAUUAUAGCAUUGACACCAUCAUCACCACAUUAACACCAUCAUCACCACAUUAACACCAUCAUCAACACCAUCAUCACCACAUUAAUACCAUCAUCAACACCAUCAUCACCACAUUAACACCAUCAACAUAGCAUUGACACCAUCAUCACCACAUUAACACCAUCAUCAACACCAUCAUCACCACAUAAACACCAUCAUCAACACCAUCAACACCACAUUAACACCAUCAACAUUAUAGCAUUGACACCAUCAUCACCACAUUAACACCAUCAUCAACACCAUCAUCACCACAUCAACAUCAUAGCAUUAACACCAUCAUCACCACAUUAACACCAACAUUAUAGCAUUAACACCAUCAUCACCGCAUCAACAUUAUAGCAUUAACACCAUCAUCACCACAGCAUCAACAUCAUAGCAUCAACACCAUCAUCACAUUAACACCAUCAACAUUAUAGCAUCAACACCAUCAUCACCACAUCAACACCAUCAUCACCACAUUAACAUCAUCAACAUUAUAGCAUCAAUACCAUCAUCACCACAUCAUCACCACAUCAGCAUCAUAGCAUCAACACCAUCAUCACCACAUCAACAUCAUCAUCACGACAUCAACACCAUCAUCACCACAUCAACACCAUCAUCACCACAUUAAAAUAAUCAACAUCAUAGCAUCAACGCCAUCAUCACCACAUCAUAAUCAUCAACAUUAUAGAAUCAACACCAUCAUCAUCCCAUCAACAUCAUCAACAUCAUAGUAUUAACACCAUCAUCACCACAUUAACACCAUCAGCAUCAUAGCAUGAACACCAUCAUCACGUCAUCAACAUCAUAGCAUUAACACCAUCAUUACCACAUCAACAUCAUAGCAUUAACACCAUCAUCACCACAUCAUCACCAACAGCAUCGUCAUCGUCAUCAUCAUCGUCAACAUCAUCGUCAUCACCAGCAUCAUCAUCAUUAUCGUCAACAUCAUCAUCAGCAUCGUGUCAUCAGCAAUGGCAUUUCCUUUAAUUAAAACUCGUGGAGAAUCCCA
Molecule: long non-coding RNA, 2204 nt
Organism: Lethenteron reissneri (Far Eastern brook lamprey)
Lineage: Eukaryota; Metazoa; Chordata; Hyperoartia; Petromyzontiformes; Petromyzontidae
Source: RefSeq, a predicted model, not a curated record